RNAcentral lists this transfer RNA (76 nucleotides) under Phycisphaerae bacterium. Its description in RNAcentral is "tRNA-Lys". It matches the Rfam family "tRNA". Rfam says of the family: Transfer RNA (tRNA) molecules are approximately 80 nucleotides in length. Their secondary structure includes four short double-helical elements and three loops (D, anti-codon, and T loops). Further hydrogen bonds mediate the characteristic L-shaped molecular structure. tRNAs have two regions of fundamental functional importance: the anti-codon, which is responsible for specific mRNA codon recognition, and the 3' end, to which the tRNAs corresponding amino acid is attached (by aminoacyl-tRNA synthetases). tRNAs cope with the degeneracy of the genetic code in two manners: having more than one tRNA (with a specific anti-codon) for a particular amino acid; and 'wobble' base-pairing, i.e. permitting non-standard base-pairing at the 3rd anti-codon position. The record is from RNAcentral. Lineage: Bacteria; Pseudomonadati; Planctomycetota; Phycisphaerae.
GAUCGCGUAGCUCAGUUGGUAGAGCAACCGCCUUUUAAGCGGUAGGUCCUGGGUUCGAGCCCCAGCGCGAUCACUA